AUUGAACGCUGGCGGCAGGCCUAACACAUGCAAGUCGAGCGGAUGAAGGGAGCUUGCUCCUGGAUUCAGCGGCGGACGGGUGAGUAAUGCCUAGGAAUCUGCCUGGUUGUGUUGGAUAACGUCCGGAAACGGGCGCUAAUACCGCAUACGUCCUGAGGGAGAAAGGGGGGGAGCUUGGGACCUUACGCUAUCAGAUGAGCCUAGGUCGGAUUAGCUAGUUGGUGGGGUAAAGGCCUACCAAGGCGACGAUCCGUAACUGGUCUGAGAGGAUGAUCAGUCACACUGGAACUGAGACACGGUCCAGACUCCUACGGGAGGCAGCAGUGGGGAAUAUUGGACAAUGGGCGAAAGCCUGAUCCAGCCAUGCCGCGUGUGUGAAGAAGGUCUUCGGAUUGUAAAGCCCUUUAAGUUGGGAGGAAGGGCAGUAAGUUAAUACCUUGCUGUUUUGACGUUACCAACAGAAUAAGCACCGGCUAACUUCGUG
RNAcentral lists this ribosomal RNA (484 nucleotides) under uncultured bacterium. RNAcentral's name for it is "partial 16S ribosomal RNA". It matches the Rfam family "Bacterial small subunit ribosomal RNA", at positions 30 to 507 of the family's 1533-position model. The record is from RNAcentral.